This 72-nucleotide transfer RNA is filed under the name Marmota marmota marmota (Alpine marmot). It matches the Rfam family "tRNA". From Rfam's summary of the family: Transfer RNA (tRNA) molecules are approximately 80 nucleotides in length. Lineage: Eukaryota; Metazoa; Chordata; Mammalia; Rodentia; Sciuridae. RNAcentral also lists the same sequence under 4 other names. The record is from Rfam by way of RNAcentral.
GGAGUUGUGGCUCAGUGGUAGAGCGCUUGCCUGGCAUGCGUGAGGCCCUGGGUUGGAUCCUUAGCACCUCAU